Molecule: ribosomal RNA, 603 nt
Filed under: Astrothelium neovariolosum
Lineage: Eukaryota; Fungi; Ascomycota; Dothideomycetes; Trypetheliales; Trypetheliaceae
Description: eukaryotic LSU rRNA
Rfam family: Eukaryotic large subunit ribosomal RNA
Source: RNAcentral
ACCCGCUGGAAUUAAGCAUAUCAAUAAGUGGAGGAAAAGAAACCAACAGGGAUUGCCUUAGUAACGGCGAGUGAAGCGGCAACAGCUCAAAUUUUAAAUCUGCCACCGUGCCGAGUUGUAAUUUGCAGAGGAUGUUAUGGAAUUUGUUUGGACUCAAGUCCUUUGGAAAAAGGCGCCAUGGAGAGUGACAGUCUCGUACUUUCCAAUUCAUUUUCCAUGUAUAACUCCUUCAAAGAGUCGAGUUGUUUGGGAAUGCAGCUCUAAGUGGGACGUAAAUUUGUUCCAAAGCUAAAUACCGGCUAGAGACCGAUAGCGCACAAGUAGAGUGAUCGAAAGAUGAAAAGCACUUUGAAAAGAGAGUUAAAAAGCACGUGAAAUUGUUGAAAGGGAAGCUUAUGUCAUCAGAAAUGAUGUCAUUGUUCAGCCUUUUGGUGUAUUCAAUGAUAUCAGGCUAGCAUCAGUUUGGAUAGUUGGAUAAAAGUGUUGGAAAUGUAGCUCCUCCGGGAGUGUUAUAGUCUGAUACAUAAUGCAGCUUAUCCAGACUGAGGACCGCUUUAAGGAUGCUGGCAUAAUGGUGGCAUGAGGCCCGUCUUGAAACACGGA